Sapajus apella (tufted capuchin) is the source of this 1463-nucleotide long non-coding RNA. RefSeq lists it as uncharacterized. The record is from RefSeq and is a predicted model, not a curated record. NCBI's taxonomy places the organism in Eukaryota, Metazoa, Chordata, Mammalia, Primates, Cebidae. The transcript is spliced from 3 exons.
CUGAGAUUACAGGUGUGAGCCACUAUGCCUAGUAUGAAUAGAAUAUCCUCUUAUUGUCUGCUUGGAUGACCCACAACAUGGAUUUCUGCAUAACAGGACACUAAUUCUGUUUUCCAGACAUUAUUAAAAGCUGCUAUGGUACUAAACCCAUUAUCAGCCUUUUAGAUUUUAUCCUCAGGGUAUAAUGAAGCUGUGGCCUGUUAAUCUAACAUCUGAAUUGCAUUUAUUAUUUUAUCUGAUAUCACUUUCUACUUUUUUCCAGCUGUUGUAUUAAUUAUCGCAGUAUUCCAAACCACUUCCAGCUUAAGUAUUGGGGCUGAGUGUUAGAGGUCCUAUUAUCAUGCCCUGUUUACAGAAGAAAAAAUGAAGGCACACAGAGGUUAAUUAACUUGCCUAAGGUGAUAAAGUUAGCGAGAGAGCAGGAUUUAAAUCUUAGCCAUCUACUUCUACAAUCUGUGCUCUAACUGCUUUGCCUUACUGCCUCUUCAAACUGUUGUCAUUUGAGAGGUUUAGGUAGUAGCUAUUCUUACUGAUUCAUAAUAGGGGCAGUACAGUUAGAGUUAAUGGAGAAGUGAGUUUCAGUUGAUUCUUAAAAUAGAGAAUAGGUUUAAAUAUAUGAAAAAGAGCAUUCCAAGAUACACAGAAUAAGCAAAGGUUCAGAGACAAGACUAACCAGAGUAUGUUCAGGGAAUAACGAAGAUAUUAGACUGACUAUAGAAAUAAUAACUAGUGAACUUGGUUAGUAUUGAAAGUUUAUCCAUUAGAACUUAACUGGGAAAAAUAUUAAGUGUUUAUAUCUGAGUUCUUAGAUUCAAUUGAAUUCUUUAAAAAAUAUUGCUAAUCUUACUCCUUGGGAACACUGACUCAGUUUUCAGAUGGAAAUUUCUUAGUAAGGAAAUAAUAAAAUUCAUAGUAUUUAUUAUAGAUUUUUUUUUUUUUAGUAUUUUCAUUUUUUCUUGAGCUAGUUCUGCUGACACCAACAUAAUUUGAUUAGUUUAACUUGUGAUAAAAUAGAUCCAGCAGGAGGAGUUGGAUAUAAGUUGAAUUUCUGCCAGAUUUCAGAAGAAAAAUGUUAUUUUAAGUGUUCUGGUCAUUUCUGGUGGAGUGAAGGUCUUGUCAUGAAGUUGUCAUUGGCAGGUUUACAGACCACUGAACGUGGCUUUGUUAUUUACAAAAACCACAACACACAUAUACAAAAAGUAGAUAUGUGAAAACAUGUAACUCCGUCAAAGAAAUGUCAUGCUUAUAUAGCCUAGUGAAAAUAAGAAUCUUGAUUGUAAUGGGAAGCUGGUUCCUUUCCUAAGCUUGAGGCUGAAGAAAUCUGAACUUUCCUUUGGGUUUUGUAACUAAUUUACCACCCAAGUUUGAAACAGACAUAAAAUAAAUAAGCUGUCAAUAUUUAUUUAUUUAUUUUACUUUAUUUAUUUAUUUAUUUUUUGAGACAGGUCUCACUGUGUCACCCA